Molecule: non-coding RNA, 93 nt
Organism: Stereum hirsutum FP-91666 SS1
Lineage: Eukaryota; Fungi; Basidiomycota; Agaricomycetes; Russulales; Stereaceae
Source: the annotation of a RefSeq genome assembly
GGUUCAAUGGUCUAAUGGUUAUGAUUUCUGUCUCACAUUUGUUCCUCUGGAGCGGAUCACAGAAGGUUCCCAGUUCGAUCCUGGGUUGAGCCA